RNAcentral lists this ribosomal RNA (154 nucleotides) under Amborella trichopoda. Its description in RNAcentral is "rRNA 5_8S_rRNA". It matches the Rfam family "Bacterial large subunit ribosomal RNA", at positions 14 to 182 of the family's 2925-position model. The record is from RNAcentral. Lineage: Eukaryota; Viridiplantae; Streptophyta; Magnoliopsida; Amborellales; Amborellaceae.
AAGGCUUACGGUGGAUACCUAGGCACCCAGAGACGAGGAAGGGCGUAAUAAGCGACGAAAUGCUUCGGGGAGUUGAAAAUAAGCGGAGAUCCGGAGAUUCCCGAAUAGGUUAACCUUUCGAACUGCUGCUGAAUCCAUGGGCAGGCAAGAGACA